Non-coding RNA from Megalops atlanticus (tarpon), 72 nucleotides. The record is from the annotation of a GenBank genome assembly. NCBI's taxonomy places the organism in Eukaryota, Metazoa, Chordata, Actinopteri, Elopiformes, Megalopidae.
GGUACUAUGGUGUAAUGGUUGGCAAUCAGGACUUUGAAUCCAACAAUCCAAGUUCAAAUCUUGGUAGAGUUA